ACCCAGCAAAGAUCUUUGGACCAUCUAAUGUGACUGAAGGAGUAAAUGUCAAUUUUAAAUGUAGCAUUACUGGCAUCAGAGGACCUGAGGACAAGUUAAAUGUUUACCUUUGCAAGAAUGGAGUUGGGAUAAGAAUUGCGAAGCUGGAGAAAGGAGAAAAUGAUGCUAUUUUCACCAUGAAGAAUGUUACAAGAGAAGACUCAGGCAACUACAGCUGUGUUUACACCAGAGAUAAACCUGUACCCAGUCACUUGAAGUCAACAGGGGAGAAUUUAAUAGUCUUUCAUGUCGAUGGAGAAUGGAAAGAGAUCUACCCAGCAAAGAUCUUUGGACCGUCUAAUGUGACUGAAGGAGUAAAUGUCCAUUUUAUAUGUAGUACUACUGGCAUCAGACGGCCUGAGGACAAGUUAAAUGUUUACCUUUGCAAGAAUGGAGUUGGGAUAAGAAUUGCGAAGCUGGAGAAAGGAUAAAAUGAUGCUAUUUUCACCAUGAAGAAUGUUACAAGAGAAGACUCAGGCAACUACAGCUGUGUUUACACCAGAGAUAAACCUGUACCCAGUCACUUGAAGUCAACAGGGGAGAAUUUAAUAGUCUUUCAUGUCGAUGGAGAAUGGAAAGAGGGACUAAAGAAUGUGGGAGGACAAGGCAGAGCAGGACUGGCAGCAGCCUUGGUCCUCCUGUUCAUGACUCUGUCGUUACUGCUGUUACUGUGGAGGUGCUGGGGGAUCCUGAAACCAAGUAAGUGAAGUGAACCUUUUCUGUUUGGUUUAGGCCAGUAAUCAAUUCUUAACACAGUGCGCUGGACAGCUGAAAAUUCACUUUUAAAAGGCAUUUUCACUGCCGUUUGCGGAGAUCGCAUUCACAAAAUGCUGCAGAUGACGGCCCAAUCGGAAAUUCCCUUUACAUGUCAAACAAUUCAUGUGGAAUUUGGAAUUUUGAUAAACUAAUCUGUUAACAGUCAAGUUUAGCAAGAUAUUUGUUAAUAUAUUGUAACUGUAGAUUUGUACACUCGCAGUUCAUAUUCACGAAACGUUGCAAAUGACAGCUCAAUCGGAAAGCCCCUUUAAAUGUCAAGCUGUAACAAAAAUCCAACGCGGAUAUGAUUGAAUCCCAGCCUUACAAUCACCAUAUGUGACAUGGU
This is a long non-coding RNA of Oncorhynchus tshawytscha (Chinook salmon), 1141 nucleotides long. RefSeq lists it as uncharacterized. The transcript is spliced from 3 exons. The record is from RefSeq and is a predicted model, not a curated record. Lineage: Eukaryota; Metazoa; Chordata; Actinopteri; Salmoniformes; Salmonidae.